UAGGGAAUCUUCCGCAAUGGGCGAAAGCCUGACGGAGCAACGCCGCGUGAGUGAUGAAGGUCUUCGGACCGUAAACCUCUGUUAUUAGGGCAGAACAAAUGUGUCAGUAACUAUGCACGUCUUGACGGUACCUCAUCAGAACGCCACGGCUAACUACGUGCUAGCAGCCGCGGUAAUACGUAGGUGGCAAGCGUUAUCCGGAAUUCUUGGGCGUAAAGCGCGCGUAGGCGGUUUUUUAAGUCUGAUGUGAAAGCCCACGGCUCAACCGUGGAGGGUCAGUGGAAACUGGAAAACUUGAGUGCAGAAGAGGAAAGUGGAAUUCCAUGUGUAGCGGUGAAAUGGACAGAGAUAUGGAGGAACACCAGUAGCGAAGGCGACUUUCUGGUCUGUAACUGACGCUAAUGUGCGAAAGCGUGGGGAUCAAGCUGG
Molecule: ribosomal RNA, 429 nt
Filed under: Actinomycetes bacterium
Lineage: Bacteria; Bacillati; Actinomycetota; Actinomycetes
Description: Actinobacteria bacterium partial 16S ribosomal RNA
Rfam family: Bacterial small subunit ribosomal RNA
Source: RNAcentral